CCAGACUCCUACGGGAGGCAGCAGUGGGGAAUAUUGCGCAAUGGGGGAAACCCUGACGCAGCAACGCCGCGUGAGUGAGGAAGUAUCUCGGUAUGUAAAGCUCUAUCAGCGGGGAAGAAGGAAGACGGUACCCGACUAAGAAGCCCCAGCUAACUACGUGCCAGCAGCCGCGGUAAUACGUAGGGGGCGAGCGUUAUCCGGAUUCACUGGGCGUAAAGGGAGCGCAGGCGGCACGGCAAGUCCGGUGUGAAAGCCCGGGGCCCAACCCCGGGACUGCACUGGAAACUGCCGGGCUGGAGUGUCGGAGGGGCAGGCGGAAUUCCUAGUGUAGCGGUGAAAUGCGUAGAUAUUAGGAGGAACACCGGUGGCGAAGGCGGCCUGCUGGACGACGACUGACGCUGAGGCUCGAAAGCGUGGGGAGCAAACAGGAUUAGAUACCCGUGUA
RNAcentral lists this ribosomal RNA (445 nucleotides) under uncultured bacterium. RNAcentral's name for it is "bacterial SSU rRNA". It matches the Rfam family "Bacterial small subunit ribosomal RNA", at positions 331 to 792 of the family's 1533-position model. The record is from RNAcentral.